RNAcentral lists this ribosomal RNA (469 nucleotides) under Streptomyces albidoflavus. RNAcentral describes it as "bacterial SSU rRNA". It matches the Rfam family "Bacterial small subunit ribosomal RNA", at positions 114 to 597 of the family's 1533-position model. The record is from RNAcentral. Lineage: Bacteria; Bacillati; Actinomycetota; Actinomycetes; Kitasatosporales; Streptomycetaceae.
CACGUGGGCAAUCUGCCCUGCACUCUGGGACAAGCCCUGGAAACGGGGUCUAAUACCGGAUAUGACCGUCUGCCGCAUGGUGGAUGGUGUAAAGCUCCGGCGGUGCAGGAUGAGCCCGCGGCCUAUCAGCUUGUUGGUGAGGUAGUGGCUCACCAAGGCGACGACGGGUAGCCGGCCUGAGAGGGCGACCGGCCACACUGGGACUGAGACACGGCCCAGACUCCUACGGGAGGCAGCAGUGGGGAAUAUUGCACAAUGGGCGAAAGCCUGAUGCAGCGACGCCGCGUGAGGGAUGACGGCCUUCGGGUUGUAAACCUCUUUCAGCAGGGAAGAAGCGAAAGUGACGGUACCUGCAGAAGAAGCGCCGGCUAACUACGUGCCAGCAGCCGCGGUAAUACGUAGGGCGCAAGCGUUGUCCGGAAUUAUUGGGCGUAAAGAGCUCGUAGGCGGCUUGUCACGUCGGUUGUGA